Molecule: ribosomal RNA, 656 nt
Filed under: uncultured marine eukaryote
Lineage: Eukaryota
Description: SSU rRNA
Rfam family: Eukaryotic small subunit ribosomal RNA
Source: RNAcentral
GUUAAAAAGCUCGUAGUCGGAUUUCAGUAGGCUCAGUUUAGUCUUCAUUGUAAGAUCUAUAUGGGCCUGCUUCUUUGACAGAAACUUCUAUGUUAUUCAUUUAGCGUGGGCAGCGACUGUCUCUUUUACUUUGAGAAAAUUAGAGUGAUCAAAGCAGGUAGAUGCCUGAAUAUUACUCUUGGAAUAAUGCUAUAAGACUUUGGUUCUAAUGUAUUGGUGAUUGGGACCAGAGUAACGAUUGAUAGGGACGGUUGGGGUCUUACGUACUGCAAAGCGAGAGGUGAAAUUCUUGGACCUUUGUAUGACGAACAACUGCGAAAGCAUUGGACUAGGACGUUCCCGUUGAUCAAGAACGAAAGUUGGGGGAUCGAAGACGAUCAGAUACCGUCGUAGUCUCAACCAUAAACUAUGCCAGCUAGGGAUCGGAGGAAGUUAUUGUUUCGACUCCUUCGGCACCUUAUGAGAAAUCAAAGCAUUUGGGUUCCGGGGGGAGUAUGGUCGCAAGGCUGAAACUUAAAGGAAUUGACGGGAGGGCACCACCAGGAGUGGAGCCUGUGGCUUAAUUUGACUCAACACGGGAAAAACUUACCAGGUCCGGACAUAGUAAGGAUUGACAGGUUGAAAGCUCUUUCUGAUUCUAUGGGUGGUGGUGCAUG